UAGGGAAUCUUCGGCAAUGGACGAAAGUCUGACCGAGCAACGCCGCGUGAGUGAAGAAGGUUUUCGGAUCGUAAAACUCUGUUGUUAGAGAAGAACAAGGACGUUAGUAACUGAACGUCCCCUGACGGUAUCUAACCAGAAAGCCACGGCUAACUACGUGCCAGCAGCCGCGGUAAUACGUAGGUGGCAAGCGUUGUCCGGAUUUAUUGGGCGUAAAGCGAGCGCAGGCGGUUUCUUAAGUCUGAUGUGAAAGCCCCCGGCUCAACCGGGGAGGGUCAUUGGAAACUGGGGGAGUUGAGUGCAGAAGAGGGGAGUGGAAUUCCAUGUGUAGCGGUGAAAUGCGUAGAUAUAUGGAGGAACACCAGUGGCGAAGGCGGCUCUCUGGUCUGUAACUGACGCUGAGGCUCGAAAGCGUGGGGAGCAAACAGG
RNAcentral lists this ribosomal RNA (429 nucleotides) under Gemmatimonadota bacterium. RNAcentral describes it as "Gemmatimonadetes bacterium partial 16S ribosomal RNA". It matches the Rfam family "Bacterial small subunit ribosomal RNA", at positions 355 to 776 of the family's 1533-position model. The record is from RNAcentral. Lineage: Bacteria; Pseudomonadati; Gemmatimonadota.